Canis lupus familiaris (dog) is the source of this 1124-nucleotide long non-coding RNA. RefSeq lists it as uncharacterized. The transcript has 3 exons. The record is from RefSeq and is a predicted model, not a curated record. NCBI's taxonomy places the organism in Eukaryota, Metazoa, Chordata, Mammalia, Carnivora, Canidae.
GUAGUGAAGUAUGAAUAUGGGCCAUAUGCUACAUAGUAGCAUUGCAUUAAUGAUAAAUUAUUUGAGUGUGGUUUUGAAUAGUGAUUAUAUAAAAUUUCCUUUUUCUUAUAAGACACAGACCAAAGUGUUUAAGGGUGAAGUAUCAUCAUGUCUACACCAAACUCUCAAAUGGUACAGUAAAUUUUGUCUGUUUGCUUGUCUACACACACAUGGAAAGAGAAAGAAAAAAAGCAAAUUUGGCAUACUUUUAACAAAGGCAAGUCCAGCUGAAGAGUAUAUGAGUGCUCAUUGUACUGUUCUUGAAAGUUUGAAGUUUAAAAAACAUUCUUGAAAAAGUGCUAAUUUGGUGCAGUUGAGCAUCUUUUCAACAUGCUUAUUUGCUGUUUGGGUUCCUGGUGCUGUGAUCUGCCAACUUGAUAUCCUUUCUCCAUAUUUCUAUUGGGCAAUAUAUAUAUUUUUUAUAUUCACUGACAGUCAUACAGAAGUGACACUAAAAGCUUCAUGGAAAGCAGGUGGCCUUUUUCUUAUUAUUUCCAGCAAUUCCACUCUGGCCCCACACUAAAUACCACACUCAGCAAAAGCAAAUCCUGGAUUCCAUCAGGGCCACCCUUUUGAAAGGCAGCCUGGCAAAUACAAGUGUGCACUGCUUCCAGAGGGUGCAAUAUCAAUAUCAAAGUAUUUUUUCCAAUUGCAUACAGAACUCUUCCUAGGAAAAAUCUGAUGAAUAUCAUUUUCUACAUGUCAUUGUAUGUCCAGGGAAAUUUUAAUGCACCAAUACUAUUUCAGUAUCUAUUAUAAGCCGGCCUAUAGUUAGAACCUUAAUCCCAAUUUGGGUUACUAUAAUCAAAGUUUGUGUUAGGAAGCACAAAAAAUAGAAACAAGAAAAUAUGUGAACCAAGAAGGGGUGCCACAGGCUGACAAUUCCUGGUGAUCCUGCUGAGCUGCCUGGCUAAAGUAUUCAGUAUGCCAAGGUGCCAUAUUUGGGAGUAGCGUGUUCUGAGCCCCAUCACCAUAAAAGGAAAUUGUCUUCAUACCCUUUCCACAUCUCCACAGAAAUGGGGGAGUUUAAUUCAAGCCACUUUGGAGAGGAAGAAGAAGGAAGGAGGGGAGAGGAGAAGGAAAUA